UGAGGAAUAUUGGUCAAUGGGCGAGAGCCUGAACCAGCCAAGUCGCGUGAAGGAUGACUGUCUUAUGGAUUGUAGACUUCUUUUAUACGGGAAUAACAAGAGUCACGUGUGGCUCCCUGCAUGUACCGUAUGAAUAAGCAUCGGCUAACUCCGUGCCAGCAGCCGCGGUAAUACGGAGGAUGCGAGCGUUAUCCGGAUUUAUUGGGUUUAAAGGGUGCGUAGGCGGCCUGUUAAGUCAGCGGUGAAAUCUAGGAGCUUAACUCCUAAAUUGCCAUUGAUACUGGCGGGCUUGAGUGUAGAUGAGGUAGGCGGAAUGCGUGGUGUAGCGGUGGAAUGCAUAGAUAUCACGCAGAACUCCGAUUGCGAAGGCAGCUUACUAAGGUACAACUGACGCUGAAGCACGAAAGCGUGGGUAUCAAACAGGAUUAGAUACCCUGGUAGUCCACGCAGUAAACGAUGAUAACUGGGCGUAUGCGAUAUACAGUAUGCUCCUAAGCGAAAGCGUUAAGUUAUCCACCUGGGGAGUACGCCGGCNCGGU
This 539-nucleotide ribosomal RNA is filed under the name uncultured bacterium. RNAcentral's name for it is "bacterial SSU rRNA". It matches the Rfam family "Bacterial small subunit ribosomal RNA", at positions 355 to 895 of the family's 1533-position model. The record is from RNAcentral.